Myotis daubentonii (Daubenton's bat) is the source of this 5954-nucleotide long non-coding RNA. RefSeq lists it as uncharacterized. The record is from RefSeq and is a predicted model, not a curated record. NCBI's taxonomy places the organism in Eukaryota, Metazoa, Chordata, Mammalia, Chiroptera, Vespertilionidae.
CACACCUGCUUGCAGAACCGCAGGAACCCAAUGGAGUACGUCUUUCCCCAGAGGCAGCAGGUGCCAUACAUACAGCUGGACCUGGAAGAGACCACAGAGGAGAUGGACGGGUCAACAGACGGCAGAACUCUGAGCAGCAACGAAGUGAAAGACCAGUCACAGCAGCAACAGAGAGCCCUGAGGGACAGGAGAACCGCACCGUGAACAGAACACUCCGUUUUAACCAAAACCAGGCGGGACCAGUCGCAUUGCUUGGGAUGCUGCGCGCUGCUCUCACUCUACAGCAUGCACAUGACGACCUCAGAAGUCAGCUCCGUGGGGAGACGGGAGGACGGGAGGUUAGGGUGGGCACGGAGGGGCCUUGGGGUAGCUGGCCGUGUGCCCGCUCUGUGGUUCAACCAGGUACUGGCUUUAGAAUUCAUCCUAUGCUCUUUUCUAUUGUGUUAUGGACCACGAAUUUACAGCAAAACAACAAUAAAACAUUCUCCGGGGGGCUCUCAGGAGACAUUCUAAGCAAGAAUGAGACGGCAGCACCUCCGUUCGCUCACAACCUGCAGUGCUCCUGAGUCUGCACUAAACACAGGAGAGGUGCGGAAAGAGGCACACAUGUCUUGAGAAGCUGGGUCAGCUCGUUCUGAGUCCGGACGCGACUGGACAUCCCCACAAAGAUAGAAUCUGCGAGAGCGACCGCCCGCCGGCAGAGAACCCUGAUGACGUGCAGACGCUGUGCAGACCUCAACACGAAAGCCUGGCGACACAGUCGGUGGCGAACGGUGGCCUUCAACUUGGAAAGGAAGAUAUCUGGGUGCUUUUUGCCACUCACAGCUGCUCUAACCUAUGAAGGGCUCAUGUCUCCAGCUGGGGUGAGGGCCCCAGGGAGCACCCUCUAUGAACACAACCAUAGCACCUACCACACUGCGCUGGGACUAUCCCUCAGCAGACACAGAGCAGAGGGGUUGCCGCCUGGGUCUGCCACUGGGUUAGCUGUGAGCCUGUUUCCUCAUCUGUUAAAUGGGGACGGGAGUCCCUACCUUCACAGGAGGCUGCGAGGUUGAAGUGAGUAUGCAAAGUGUUCGGACGAGCGGGCAGCACUCAGCAGCGCUGCGUGUCGGCUGCUACCUGCCUGCCUCCCUCGGGGCCAGCAUCCCGGGAUGGGAUGGGGACCCUGUGUGCUGCCGGCCCGGCACAGGAGCAGCUCAGGAUGUCUGGUGACUGCAGGCAUCCCCACUGAUCACUCAACGACAAGAACUACUUUGGGGUACGGGGAGGGGGCAUCUAGCCAAAUCUGACGUCAGCCUGCUAAUGGCCUUUGUCCAAACCCACACGAGGCCACGUGGAAUGGAUGUGUCCAUCCCAGGCUGGGUCCAGCCAUAUUGUGGGCGAUGGUUAUUUUCCAAAGACGGCCACACCCUCUGACACUGACACAACCGCUGCAUACGGUGGACCGGGUGGCGCAGAAGCGAUGCUUCGUGACAUCUGACACUGGGAUCAGAAGCCUCUUUCCUCUGUUCUUUCCCGAGACGCCUGCCCUUGGAUCCAGUCACCGUGUGGGAAGCCCAGGCUGACCCCCACGUGGGAGGAAUCGAGAGCCCAACAGACACCAGCACCCACUGCCAGACACACGAGUGAGUCAGAUUCCAGAUGAAUCUGCCCCGGCCGAGACCCCGCUACCACGGGCAGGGGCACACCAUGCCCACGUGCGUCCCGAUGCCUGCCCGGCACUGUCAGCAGAAGCAGACGGUUGUUUCACACGUGGCUGUUUGGGAUCGUUACCUACACAGCCAUGUGAGUAGAACCUAGACAUAAAACCACCUGUGGCGUUCCCAGGGCGUGCACGCUCCUCACGCGUCCCGAGGCCACAUAUUCUGGUCCCUCUGCCUCCCAGAGGGAGCCGCUGAGAUGCCGCCUUCUCCUUGGUGGCCUCCUCUGUCCUGUUGCCAUGCUCACUUCCCACACGGUGAGCUCUCUGCCCAUCCGCCUGAAACUUCCAGUACAAGCAGCAGCGAAGUGGCAGGAAAGCCAUGAACGCCGAGCCAGCCCUCCUGGGUGUGGGCGUGGUCCUACCAUUUGGAGCUGUAAACAUGGCCACAUAUUCUGGCUACACUCUCUCCACCAAGAUGUUUCAUUUGGGCCCAGGUUCCAGGGGCUCAGAGCAGCAGGGCAGGCAGCCAUGCCCACACUCAGUUCUGUGCUCCAGUUUGCACUCUCACGGGAUGCUGAACAGAUUUCCCCAAGGUGAUCAGAAUUCCAGGCCCGAAAGACAAAACCCUCCAGGGAACCCCCAGGGGCCGAAGUUCAUCAGCCCCUCCACACGGAACCGCCCUCGCAAGCCAGGCCUCCUGCCAUCCACGGAGAAGAGCCUGGCGCCUGAGCUCACAUCCUUUCCUGUAUCACAUACGUCCGCAUGCAGCCAAGCUCUGUGCUCAGCUGGUCAGAACUGUCAAAUCUCAUCCAUCUCUCAGCUCAAGAUUCUCGACCUUUUACCAGUGCUCUGUCCAGCGAGUCUGUGUAACACCAAGUUGGUGACGAUGUCUGUCAAAGAAUCAUGAGUGAGUCGAUAACACGCUCUCAGAGAAGGGAGGCAAGACAGACUGUCUUCCAGAUGGUCCAACCAGCCCACACCAGGACCAUCUGGACAAGCCAAUCCCUCACCGGAGAGUUCCAGAGCCACCCCAGCACCCGGCCAGGGUGUUCACAAUGACAAGUCAACACACCCCAGGAACCAACACGAAGAUAUGCUGCCCUGGGCAUCGGGAAAGCACAGCAGAUUCGCAGUGAGGUUCUCAGCCAGCGGCCUUGUUGCCUGACUUCCCCCUGACCAUGGCUUCAGUUCUGGCCCCUGGGAGGCCUCAGAGAAACAGAGUAACUCUAUGCCCCCUAAAUGUUCGCUACAGCCUCUGUGCUGGGCUCUGUGCUGGGCCCUGGGGACACAGAAAUGACCAAGGAUCCCACAGACAAGGCCCUCCCGUGUGAAGCAGGGCGUCCAGAAUGAGGGAAGGGAUGGUGUCUGUUUGUCUGUCUGUCUCAGUCUCCUGCUCUGGAGAGUGAGGUACCGGAACUUUGGGCUCCAUCCUAGGCACCUAGAGAACUGCACACAGUCAGGAGAGCAGGACAGGGUGGAGAUGAAAUGAGGGUUGUCCUGGGUCCUUGAGGCCUGGAGGGAAGACACUGGCACUCACCCUCUUCAUCUGUGUGCCAGUGACCUUGUCCAGAAGGUCAGACAGGACCCGCUUAGUCCCAGGAGUGGAUCCUACGACCUCUGCUCAGUGUAAGAAACUAUUCCUAAGAGGCAGUCUUCAGAGGGGCAAGGUAGUGAGCUCUCUGCUAGUGGAAGCAUGCAAUCAGAGUUCGCUCGGCCCUUCCACACGGGCCACACCCAGGGCAUGGCAGCCCCUUAACAGGCAUUAACUAUAAAGGGUCUGAGCAGCUGACACUUUACAGGUCCCUCCUUCCCAACCCCGAGAUGCCCGACUGACUUUCCCUCCAACCGGAGCAGCCGGGAAAGGAAGCUGUCCUCCUAGAGACUGUUCUCCACCCGCCCCCCUCAUCCCCGCCCCCUCCCGGACAACUGCAACAGCACAGCCUUGGGGGCCCCCAAGGCUUCACGAGGGGCUCCCCGACAAGUGCACUCAGCAGCCUCUGCCAGCAGCCCCCGGGGCAGGCGUCCUCAUCAGCUCCCCCCUCCCCCACUACAGGUAAGUGAGGCACCGUCUGCUCCACAGACACUCCCUGGGUCCCGUUCUGUGCCCUGGGUGCACCUGGCCAUCGCCAGCUCACUCCUCCCCGCGCCUUCCACACCGAAAGCAGCCCCGGGGCCUCGCUGUCCUUGCUACACAGACACCGUUAUUUGGAAAGACCCGGGCAUUCGUAUUUCAGAUAACUCACGGAUGAGCCCGGGAAACUCAGUUUUGACCACUUGGGACAGAAAUCUUCCCUGCUCAGUAAAGAGGGCCUCAGGACUUUCUUUCCUUUUUUCAGGGACUGAUGAUCACUGCGGACAAUAAUGGGCACAGUGCACUACAGCCAGGGCGACGGGCUCUGCCCGACACGAAAGGCCCCGGGAUGCUGCCAGGCGGGUCCUUCCCUCCCACCCCCCAUGCCAUGUCUGUCCUUUGCUGGUCCUGCUUCCUGCCACCUGGAAUGCCCUUUCUCUCUCUCAGGACCUCUGCUGGUUCCUUCUGCAAACCUCUUUAUUCUGAUCAGAGCUCCUGUGAGUCCUGGCAGCACAUGGCCCUGCCGGCCUUCUGUGGCGUGUCUGCGGCCCUCGGCCAGGUUCAUUCUGGCUACACUCUCUCCACCAAGAUGUUUCAUUUGGGGCCAGGUUCCAGGAAGCGAACCUUGUCCAAAAUCUGAAACUGGGUGAAUGAAGCGUCAUUCUUUAAUUGUUUCAUCCAGGCCUGUAAAACCUCUUCCCCUGACAAGAGUUCAUAUUUUUCGCUGAGAAACUCAUCCUGUGUUCCUUCACCAAGCCUGGCACAGGGCAACCCCGGGCCUGGGAGCCCCAGGCGAGCCUGGCGUCCAGCAAGCACCUGGGAAAUCCUGGGCCAGUUUCUUAGCCUCUCAAAUUCCUUCCCACGGUUGUAAAAUGGGGGUGAUAUGUAUUCCUCCGGGUAACUGGGAGGUGAGAAUGAGCUAAGCCUAACGAAAAAUAGGUGGUAAAGCUGUGAGCCCACACCAUCGUUACUGGGAAAACAGUGCUGCAUAAAGCAAUGGGAAGCCCUCUCCUCUGCACCCUGGCCUCCUGCACCCCUGGAUCAGCUCCCCAGCUCCUCAGGCUGCCUCAGAGUUGUCUCUAGGAGCUACCUCCCACGCCGACCACAAUCAAACACUAAAUGCCGGGAAGGGGCUGGUUUCCCGCUACUCCAGCCUGGCGCUGCCGUGAGAACCGCGGUGUGAGUUACAGCCCUCACCAGAUGGUAGGUACUCGGUCAGAGGGACCCUGGGCUAGCCAUGUACUUCUCUGAGACUCGCCCUCUCCUUGGAAAAUGGCAAUAUGACCACCCACUCAAGCUGUUUAUCUCCUCUCCCCCUCCCCCUCCCCCCAGAAUGCCACUAAGAUGAGAAUGAAUCGGUGGAAAAGUACAAGCCUUCAAGGACAAGGAGAUGGCACCGGAGGCAGCCGACAGCAAUGCUGACAAAAGCUCUGAGAUGCAGCAUGGUCAGCGUGACCUCUGACCGGGAGGGCCCAGGACUGCGGGGGAAGGUGCAGGUGGAAAACAUGGCUGCAAGUCCGCGCGGCCUUUACUUUCCUGGCCGGUGGGGCAGCUCCUUCCUCAGAGAACUCAGCUCAGCCGAGGGCAGCAACACGGACACUUGCAGAAAACAGAUGAGGUCUGAAUGCGAAGCGCGAGGUGUCUAGGUCCCUUCCCCCAACUGCACCCUUAACUCAGCGUGCCCAGCUUUCACCACCCGGAGAACAUUAGUAUCUGAGGAAACAGGCCCAGGAUAAAAAAAUCUUCAUCGAGUGCCUGUCCCCACCACUGCGUAAAAACGGCACAGGAAAACCAUGUCCUGUCACCCAACUGGGAGCCGGCAGUGUAAGCCCCGUUCUUCAAUACAAAUAGCCAAGGACACCAGACACUUGAGGAGCGCUUCCAACACAAAGGUCAAAGGCCAAGACAAACAAACAGGGAAGUCAGGAGACCGAGAUAAUGCAGGAAACAGAAGAAAAUUGCAAUUAGCGUCCCGGGAAGGGGAGAUACUCUCUCCCACACCAAGCACAAGGGACUAUAAAAUAGAACAGGAAAGAGCGCCUGACGCUUUACAACACGAUAAAGAAAACAAAACCUUCCGUAGGAAAGCUCAAAGGUAAAUAUUUAAAAUAAAAUUUAAAAGCUCCUGGGAAAUAGUACAAAAGAAACCAUAAAGAAAACUUAAAGGUCAAUCCAGAAGUGCAACAUCCUACCAACAGGAAUUCCGGAAAGGAGGAAUAAACGGGGGGGGGGGGGGGGGGG